Long non-coding RNA from Dromaius novaehollandiae (emu), 2487 nucleotides. The record is from Ensembl. Lineage: Eukaryota; Metazoa; Chordata; Aves; Casuariiformes; Dromaiidae.
UUCUCAUACAGGUGGAAUCUGCUGUCCUUGGUCUGCCUGGGAAUGACAUCUGUCCUGUGGGGCAUUUCUGCCCCACUGGUACAGGGUAUCCCAUCCCCUGUCCUCCUGGAUCCUUCUCUACUUCCCUGGGCCUGGAGGCAGAGGAACAGUGCCAGCCCUGUCCAGCUGGGCGGUAUUGCAGUGAGGCAGGACUGUCCGAUCUGGCGCAGACAUCGCUGUGUAAUGCAGGAUUUGUUUGUCUGGAAGGAAACUCUGCUCCCUGCCCUUCUGACAGAAUUCAUGGAUACAGAUGUCCCAGUGGCUUCUACUGUCCUGCUGGCACUGGGCUAGAACUGCCCUGUGAGCCUGGCACGUUCAGCCCUAUGCCUGGGGCGAGUGUCUGCCUCCCUUGCCCAGCUGGUAUGACCUGCAGCAAUGCUGCCACUGUGAAGCCACUCCGUUGCCCCAGAGGUUACUAUUGCCCUGUUCGGACCGCUGCCCCACUGCCGUGCCCCGAGGGCACGCUGAACACUUUGGAGGGGGCGUUGUCCCCCACUGCCUGCAAGCUGUGCCCGGUGGGGAGAUACUGCAGGGGUGAUGCUAACUGGGAAGCUGACGGUCUGUGCUCAGCUGGGUACUACUGUGAAGGAGGAUCCACUGAUGCCGUUCCACAUAGGACACCUGGGUUCCCGCUCAAUGGGCCCUGUCCGCUUGGGCACUAUUGUCCGGAGGGCACUCGUGGCCCAGUAGCCUGCCCAGUAGGCACCCUGAACAAUGCCACAGGUGGUGCCUCCCCAGAGAGCUGUGUGCCAUGCUAUCCUGGAUCUUUCUGUGCCGGCACUGGUUUGAGUUCUCCAACGGGGCCUUGUAUUGAAGGGUUCUACUGCCCAGCAAACUUCAGCUCCUUCAGCCCCACCGCAUUUCUCUGCCCUAAGGGUCACUUCUGCCGUUCGGGAGCUGCCCACCCAGUGCCCUGCCCUGCUGGAGAAUACCAGCCAACCAGGGGCUCCGCGUCCUGCAUUCCAUGCCAGAGAGGAUUCUACUGCCAGGAGGCAGUGGCAGGAGACCCCAAGCGCUGCCCCCCUCACACUUACUGUCCUACAGGCACCCGGGUUCCUCACCCAUGUCCAGAAGGCACCUUCACUCUUUCAAAUACGACUGGUCUCUGGAAUGAGAAGGAGUGCUUGGCUUGCCUACCUGGUCACUACUGCAGGCAUGGACGGCUGGAGGGAAAGUGUGCUGCUGGGUACUUCUGCCUUGCUGGGAGCUCUCAGUCUACUCCACAGGGCCACAGUUUUUCCUGGCGCUUCCUGUCUGAGUGCCGCUGGGGGCAGGCGUGUGCAGGGCUGUGCCCUGCAGGUUUCUACUGCCAGGAGGGCUCUGAGGUGCCUAUACCAUGUCCUGCCAAUACCAUUAGAAACAUCCCAGGGGCAAAGCAGAGAGAAGACUGCCUGCCCUGUCCACCAGGCCGCUGGUGCAAAGCAGGGGAUUCAGAGGCCUAUCCAUGUCCCUCAGGACACUAUUGCUUUGGAGGCAAUGGUACUGACCACAGCAGUCUUCUGGCACCUCAGAAAUGCCCUCCACGUACUUAUCGCGAGUACCCAGGAGCUCAGAGCCUGGCAGAUUGCCAGCCGUGCCCUCCAGGCUAUCAUUGCCCUUUAUCAGGUCUGACCAAUUUUGAAGAUCAUCCCUGCCCCCUGGGAUACUGGUGCCCUGGUAAAGGGGAUGCUUUCCUUUGUCCACCUGGCACUUCCAGGAUCCAGACUGGGGCAACGUCUUUGGAAGAGUGUGAUCCCUGCUCGCCCGGAUAUUUUUGCCCAGAUCCGGCACAGACAGGGCUGCCGAACACCCGAGAAGUGCCUUGUAAACCCGGCUAUGAAUGCCCACCAGGUUCAGUAAAUCCAAUCCCGUGCAGGCCUGGCUCAUACUGUGGUGUUGGCACAGCCAUGCCUUCCACGUGCCCUGGUGGAUAUUAUUGUCCCGAAGGAUCAUCAACGUACAAYAGCCCUGAGCAGCUGUGUGUGUUUCCCUACUACUGUCCCCCAGGCAGUGCCCAUCCAUUGGUCUGUGAAGGAGGAUACAUGGCACUCAGUUUGCCUGGUCCAAGGGAUUCCUUUGAGAAAUUCUGCAGGAUCUGUGACGCAGGCACCUAUCGCAACGACUCUCUCGUCGCAGCACCGUGUCAGCCCUGCCCAGCAGGCUUCGUCUGCCCACAGGGCAGUGAGAGUUACCAGCAGCAGCCUUGCCCCAGAGGCUAUUACUGCCCUCCCCUGGUGCCUGCCCCUCUGCCCUGUCCCCCUGGGACCCAUGGGAGCAGCAACUUUGCGAAGCGUGUAGAGGAGUGCCAGGCCUGUCCUGCUGGUUCCUUCAAUCACCUUCCGGCUCAGCCUGCAUGUUUCCCCUGUGGCAGCUCUUCCUCCUCUCUGCCUGGUGAGUUGCUGUUCGUGAGUGAAACUUUCACCUCUGUUAAGAGAAAGACUGAAAAGGGAAACACCUAGAAAUGCGAUU